Molecule: ribosomal RNA, 341 nt
Filed under: uncultured archaeon
Lineage: Archaea
Description: bacterial SSU rRNA
Rfam family: Archaeal small subunit ribosomal RNA
Source: RNAcentral
GUAAUGCAAGGCAUACGGCUCAGUAACACGUAGUCAACUUACAGUAGGCUAGGAUAAUCUCGGGAAACUGAGCAUAAUACUCGAUCGAUGAUAAUGCCUGGAAUGGUUUAUGGUUGAAAUGAUUCGUCGCCAUAGGAUGGGACUGCGGCCUAUCAGCUUGUUGCUCCGGUAAUGGCCCACCAAGGCGAUUACAGGUACGGGCUCUGAGAGGAGAAGCCCGGAGAUGGGUACUGAGACAAGGACCCAGGCCCUAUGGGGCGCAGCAGGCGAGAAAACUUUGCAAUGUGCCAAAGCACGACAAGGUUAAUCCGAGUGAUUUCUGCUAAAGGAAUCUUUUGUUA